GGUGAACGCUGGCGGCGUGCUUAAGACAUGUAAGUCGAACGGGCUCUUCGGAGCCAGUGGCGCACGGGUGAGUAACGCGUAACUGACCUACCCCAAAGUCGCGGAUAACGAUUCGAAAGAAUCGCUAAUACGUGAUGUGCUGUCAGAUCCUGUUCUGCCAGUAAAGAUUUAUUGCUUUGGGAUGGGGUUGCGUUCCAUCAGCUAGUUGGUGGGGUAAAGGCCCACUAAGGCGACGACGGAUCGCCGGCCUGAGAGGGUGGCCGGCCACAGGGGCACUGAGACACGGGUCCCACUCCUACGGGAGGCAGCAGUUAGGAAUCGUCCACAAUGGGCGAAAGCCUGAUGGAGCGACGCCGCGUGAGGGAUGAAGGGCUUCGGAUCGUAAACCUCUGAAUCAGGGACGAAAGACGCGAAAGCGGGAUGACGGUACCUGAGUAAUAGCACCGGCUAACUCCGUG
RNAcentral lists this ribosomal RNA (458 nucleotides) under uncultured bacterium. RNAcentral describes it as "partial 16S ribosomal RNA". It matches the Rfam family "Bacterial small subunit ribosomal RNA", at positions 28 to 507 of the family's 1533-position model. The record is from RNAcentral.